Long non-coding RNA from Microplitis demolitor, 1280 nucleotides. RefSeq lists it as uncharacterized. The transcript is spliced from 2 exons. The record is from RefSeq and is a predicted model, not a curated record. NCBI's taxonomy places the organism in Eukaryota, Metazoa, Arthropoda, Insecta, Hymenoptera, Braconidae.
UUAUCACGUCAUCUUGUUGAGUAUGUUUAUAAAAAGGGCUCCAAGAAACAAAAAAUUUAUAGAUUAACUAUUUAAACUUUUACACCACCUUUUAUGUUAACACAUACUCGUAAAAAAAAUGUUAAUUAACUAUCGAAUAACUUUUUGAAAAAUGGUGAUACAAAUUUUAGUACCGCGGAAUCAUAUCCUUUGAAGUGUCUAGAUGACACCAGAAUUUUUUUUAAUUUUUUAAUCAAUAUUUUAUUGCAUAAAAAAAUUAUUUAACAACUACGCUCACUAGAGCGGCGGCGCGCGCAUGCCUCAACUGCCGCGCAAAAGCCGAUUUUUAACGUUAAAUAAAAAUUAUAAAUAUUGGAGCUACAAUUCAGGGAGUCGAGAACUUUCUACUCAAAUUUUCUGAUCUUUCAGAAAUUUUUUUAAUAUUUGAGCUAUCACUCAUACUUCUUGAGAUUUUACCGAAAAGCUGGACAGCUAAUUUUUUUAACGGUUUUUUGUUAAUAACAAUUGUAAUUUUCUUUUGCAAAAAAAAAAUCCAAAAAACGCUUAUUUCUGGACGCCAUUCCGGAUCGUUUCAGCCAUCAACCAUAUUUUUAGGAGACUUGUAACUAUUUUUCGCAAGUUUUCAUCUUCUCGACUAGACUAUAAUACCAAAAAGGCAUAUAAACAAAAAAAUAUAUCACGAUAAAAUUAAAUUCGUGAAUUAAAAUUUAAAUCUACUAAGGGUAAAAAUUAGAGGGAAUAAAAUUUCAAAAUUUUUCGAUCAGAUGUAUGCUGAAGUUCUAUCAGUAUCAGCAAGUAAAUCCACCGAUUUUAUAGCUCUUUAUGAUUCAGGAGAUAUUUCAAUGAAAUACCAUGAGUAUUAUAAAAAUCUACCACAUAAAGCAGAAAAUGUGAGGAGAUUUGAUUUAGUUAUUAAUUAAAAUAAAAAAUACGGUAAAAAGUUAUUUACUAAUAAUACAUUCGUCCUUUUUUUACAACAGAUAUUAAUGAUAACGACAAUGACGAUAAAAAAAAACUAUUAUUAAUUUGAUUAUUUGAGUCAAGUUAUACCAUAAACUUUUCUCGAUUGCAAGUUCAUAACAGACUAGAGGAUCAGACUACCAUUCAGCGAUUACCAAAGUCAAGCAGCAUCGACGUGGAUCAAUAAUUGGAUGGGUGACCCCUUAGUACAAAAAUAGUUAACCGAUAGUAAUUUUUUUUUUUUUUUUUUCAAUUUAAAUUUAACCAACAUUUAUAUGAAUGAGGACAAUAAAUCCUAAUUUAAUUACUUGAUUAAUAAA